UCCACGCCGUAAACUAUGAUUACUCGUUGCGUGCGAUAUACAGUACGUGACUGAGCGAAAGCAUUAAGUAAUCCACCUGGGGAGUACGUUCGCAAGAAUGAAACUCAAAGGAAUUGACGGGGGCCCGCACAAGCGGAGGAACAUGUGGUUUAAUUCGAUGAUACGCGAGGAACCUUACCCGGGCUUAAAUGCAGGACGACCGGCUGAGAAAUCAGCCUUUCUUCGGACGGCUUGCAAGGUGCUGCAUGGCUGUCGUCAGCUCGUGCCGUGAGGUGUCGGGUUAAGUCCCAUAACGAGCGCAACCCCUAUCGUUAGUUGCCAGCGAGUAAUGUCGGGAACUCUAACGAGACUGCCACCGUAAGGUGUGAGGAAG
Molecule: ribosomal RNA, 373 nt
Filed under: uncultured bacterium
Lineage: Bacteria
Description: bacterial SSU rRNA
Rfam family: Bacterial small subunit ribosomal RNA
Source: RNAcentral